Molecule: long non-coding RNA, 661 nt
Filed under: Anas platyrhynchos platyrhynchos (common mallard)
Lineage: Eukaryota; Metazoa; Chordata; Aves; Anseriformes; Anatidae
Description: lncRNA (ENSAPLG00000030326.1)
Source: RNAcentral
GAGCUGUUGUUCCCCAACCCAUGGAGCUCGUGGAUGGUUUGCUCAGCACUCACGGAUAGCAUCAGAUUUGGCAAUUUUUUCCUUGAAGCUGGUGUUCCGCGAACGUUUUUCUCUUCACCACGAAAGAGAUUCCAGGAAAACACGGGCUCGGAGACUGCCCUCCUUAAUGGGAGCGUUAAUUAGAAUUAGCCCUGGCUGCUGGCUGUUGGGCCCGUUAAUGAAUUGAAAGCAUCUCGCCGAGGUCAGGCUUGCCAGCAGGUGCGCGUCAGCAGCUCUCCGUAGGUGCACGGAUAAUGAUUUGUAAGUACAGCAAAAGCAGAGCCCUGCCUGGAUGCUGCGCCCUGGAGCAAGGAACCGCGAGAGCAAGGGGACAGAGCUCAGUGAUGCCACGCGCCUGCAUCCCGUGCUGAUGGUGGCACGUUCAUUUUCCUGCUUCUUGCACCACCGUCAGAGCAAGAUAAAUGCUGCUGGAGCUGCUUUUGGUGCAUACGGAGAACAUUUGAGCGCUUCCCAUGUCUACAAGCCACAGAACAGCCCCCUAACCUCCUGUUGGGCUGCUCUUUUUAAUGUGAAUCCUGCGGUUUUAAGCCGUGCUGUAAAAAAAAAAAUAUUCUUCAGGGAGUCACUCAGAGCUGGCAGUGAGCUAAAAGAAAUGUUUUAG